Molecule: non-coding RNA, 2659 nt
Organism: Xyrichtys novacula (pearly razorfish)
Lineage: Eukaryota; Metazoa; Chordata; Actinopteri; Labriformes; Labridae
Source: the annotation of a GenBank genome assembly
GUUUCGCGUUCUCUUCCGGGGAAGACCAACGGCUGUGGUCAUAGCAAAGAUGGCGGCAGGCAGCGUACACACCGGUGAGGCAGAUGGAGACCUGAAAACGUCAAGAUCGAGAGACGCCUCGGUGUCUUUACCGAAACACUCCUACUGGUUUGACUUCUGGGCAUUUCUGCUCUUCGACAUCGUGUUUUUUCUCUUCAUGUACUUCAUAGUCCCGUAAAACAUGUAAGUGAGGGUUGGAGAACCGGGGAAGGUUCGAGUUAAAGUUUUCUACUUUGGAGGGCGUUACCGGAAUAAAACCACAACUUUGUUACCGCUCUGUAUGAGGCGGAUUUCGCUUUUUUAGGCUAUUGUUAACACGUUAAUAUCUCAGUUCUUGUUCAGAUUAAAGGUUUCCACACAUUUAACCCUGGAACACUGUCGCUAAAAUAACACCAUCACUGUAUUUACCCGAAAUAAUACACCCAAGAAAAAGUACUGACAAACUAAAGUAGUUUUCUUUAACUCUUACCUGCGCAAUGUCCAAAGGGAGGAUAAAAAAGUGCCAUAUAUGUAGUCUUUCUACAUCGACUGUAUAUAGUACGGACGUCGUCACUGGGUGAAGCCAUAUAAAUUUCCCUCUGGAUCAUGGCAUUUCAACCACUUCGACAGAAGACGUGUGAAGUUUAUCGCCGCGUGACUUGGCAUGAAGCAAUGAGUGCGUUUUUGUUCACCGAGGCAGCUGCUGCAAAAAUACUGUACCUGCUUGUGGCAUUCACAGGAUUUUCUCCGGAAAACUCGAGCAGUUUGGUAACUGUCAGUUUUAAAGCAUCUGUACUAAAAACUAAAGAAACUAGAGAUUAGUUCAAUAUUUUAUUAACAUACAAAGUAAAUAGAGAAAAUUGAAUAAGAUAAACUUUUAAAAAUAUAUUUAUUAAAAAUAUUUUUAAAAUAUUUUGCUCAACAGUACAACAAAUGUAGAUAAAUACUAAAUAAUACAUUGAACUAGUUUACAGGCCUGAGUGUUUUUGCAGAUAUGCAAGACCCAAAAUAAACAGAUCGCCCCCUCAGAGAUAAUGAAGACGCAUUAAAAUAUAAACAUUUGAUGAUGUAAACGUAAAUGAUACGAUUAAUCGCUGCCUAGGUCUGGUGGCUGCACUGCUAGUUGUCGCUAAACUGCUAAUGCUACUUGUGCCAUAACAGGCUGUUCAGACUCUGCUCGCAUUUUCAUGCUUUCUGCAUAAUCACUCGGGAAGUACUUUUUGAAUGAUUAAACAGAUCUGAUGUGUUGUUGGUUUUGGUGGGCGCCGAUCACCGACAUACCUUACACAUCGGCUUAAUUGCUCAACGUCACUUUGGAGAUACCUGAACCACCACCACACAACUAACGUUGAAUAACUUCUCAACAAUAACAUCUUCGGAGGAUGACUCAAAAUCACGGCUGACAUCUAUUUUGCCGUCCUCAGCUCCGUGUUUCACUCCAUGUUCGGUCAUUCUGUUUACUUCUCCAACAAUGUACAGAAGUGAACAGUAAAAGGCCAACUCUGAUUGGCUGUUGUGACGCAUAUUUCCGCUAUGUUUGAUUGAGUAAGUAUGCUCACAGCUGAUCACUGUGAUCGAACUGAAAUUUAUCACGAUCAUAUUAUCGCCCAGUCCUACUAUGGUGCACUGUGUCAUGUCACCUUGGGUGGUAUAAACCCAGUUUCUCCUAAGCUCCAACUGUGCUUUGUGAACCUAGGAGUGACAAAUAAUUCAUUGAUUUGGUCAUCCGCUAUGCAAAAGAAUGAGCAUAUAAGAGCUUUGAGCCAGAAUCCUGGGUGCCCAUCACUGCCAAGAGUGUUAUUUGAAAAAAAGAAUAGUAAUCUGUUUGUUAUGCACUCCUAAAAUCUUAAAUGCAAAUAUCAUUUCUCAGUACCAACACAUGCUUGCCUUCUUCGUACUGAUGGUGACCCAAAAACAUGAUUUAGUAAAUCCCUUUACCCCUUUGUAGAGUUUUAAUCAUUUUCUUCAUGUGAUUUCUUCUCUUACAGCUUUGUCCCCUGGACGCUGCAGCCGGAAGACAGAGAGACCUCUGCGUCUGUCCUGCCGUCAGAAAUGCUAACCCAGCUCCGACUGAAUUUAACACCAGCUUAUCGGAUUUCUUAACAGAUAACUUGGACCCUGGAACUUCACAUUUCAUAAAUGGAGUCCUGUUUUGACAUCAGAUCUGAACCACCAUUCUCCUUCCCUUUGGGACUUGGUGACAGUGUCUGUGAACUGUCUCGUUGCUUGGAUGAAUGUGUGUGGUUGUCAUGGGUGAUGAAUUUUCCUUUUGAAAAAUGGCAACGACUGAACAGGAACCCAAAGUAAAACUUUUUUAAAGUUAGAAACUAGUCCAAGUAUUAUAACUUUAAAUGCUCAAUGUUUCUGAUCAAGCAGUCACUGUUUAUGUAGCAUUUUACUACUGAGUGGUCUUAUUUUAUUUCUGAAAAUUGUGUCUUAAAUUCAGCUUUGGAGUCUUGAAUCUUUUGAAGCCAUCCGAUGAACUCAUGUUGGGAAGCUGUUUUGACAGCAGACUCAAGAUUUUCUAAGUUGUGCACCAAAUGAUGUGAUGUGAUACAGUGAUUCCAGCGCACCAGAAUCUGGAAAUUUUGCACAUGGAGGAUACUUCAAAUAAAGUAUUUUGUCUAACAGAUUUAAGGGA